This 253-nucleotide ribosomal RNA is filed under the name uncultured bacterium. RNAcentral's name for it is "partial 16S ribosomal RNA". It matches the Rfam family "Bacterial small subunit ribosomal RNA", at positions 524 to 776 of the family's 1533-position model. The record is from RNAcentral.
UACGUAGGGUGCAGGCGUUAAUCGGAAUUACUGGGCGUAAAGCGUGCGCAGGCGGUUUCUUAAGUCAGAUGUGAAAGCCCCGGGCUUAACCUGGGAACUGCGUUUGAAACUGGGAGACUUGAGUGUGGCAGAGGGGGGUGGAAUUCCACGUGUAGUGGUGAAAUACGUAGAGAUUGGGAAGAACACCAGUGGCGAAGGCGGCUAUCUGGACGGUUUCUGACGCUAAGACGCGAAAGCGUGGGGAGCAAACAGG